This 475-nucleotide long non-coding RNA is filed under the name Homo sapiens (human). RNAcentral describes it as "HSALNT0128897". The record is from RNAcentral. Lineage: Eukaryota; Metazoa; Chordata; Mammalia; Primates; Hominidae.
GAAAAUGAUACCAAGUUUAUAAAAACUAACUCGGCCUGGCAAGAUGGCUCACACCUGUAAUCCCAGCACUUUGGGAGUCUGAGCCAGCUAAAGGGAAAAAAGGAAAAGGCCAGGGCAAGUCUCAUGGGAAGAAACAGAAGAAACCAGAAGUGGACAUUCUCAGCCCCGCGGCCAUGCUGAACCUCUACUACAUCGCCCACAACGUCGCUGACUGCCUGCAUCUGCGAGGCUUCCAUUGGCCGGGUGCUCCCAAAGGAAAGAAAGGGAGAAGCAAGUGACAGCAUUUCACAACACAUCUCUGUUACAGACAACAGGACCUGGGGAAGAGAAGUCAGGAUAACACAACUGUUGCCAGCAACAUAGACUUUACUCCAGACGACUUGAGAUGCAAAUUAAGUGUGCUUUUCUGUGAUGGUGGAAGAUCAGGAAAUGCACCUUACUUCCUCUGUUAUGCCAGAUAUGGUUAGCCACUUUG